GAUGAACGCUGGCGGCGUGCCUAAUACAUGCAAGUCGAGCGAACAGACGAGGAGCUUGCUCCUCUGACGUUAUCGGCGGACGGGUGAGUAACACGUGGAUAACCUACCUAUAAGACUGGGAUAACUUCGGGAAACCGGAGCUAAUACCGGAUAAUAUAUUGAACCGCAUGGUUCAAUAGUGAAAUACGGUUUUUCUGUCACUUAUAGAUGGAUCCGCGCCGCAUUAGCUAGUUGGUAAGGUAACGGCUUACCAAGGCGACGAUGCGUAGCCGACCUGAGAGGGUGAUUGGCCACACGGGAACUGAGACACGGUCCAGACUCCGACGGGAGGAAGCAGUAGAGAAUCUUACGCAAUGGGCGAAAGCCUGACGGAGCAACGCCGCGUGAGUGAUGAAGGUCUUCGGAUCGUAAAACUCUGUUAUUAGGGAAGAACAAAUGUGUAAGUAACUAUGAACGUAUUGACGGUACCUAAUCAGAAAGCCACGGCUAACUACGUG
Molecule: ribosomal RNA, 497 nt
Filed under: uncultured bacterium
Lineage: Bacteria
Description: partial 16S ribosomal RNA
Rfam family: Bacterial small subunit ribosomal RNA
Source: RNAcentral